UGAGGAAUCUUCCACAAUGGGCGAAAGCCUGAUGGAGCGACACCGCGUGAAGGAUGAAGCCUUUGUUGGUGUAAACUUCUUUUCUCUGGGAAGAUAAUGACGGUACCAGAGGAAUAAUGGGCGGCAAACUUCGUGCCAGCAGCCGCGGGAAUACGAAGGCCCCAAGCGUUAUCCGGAAUUACUGGGCGUAAAGCGUCUGUAGGUGGUUUGAACAGUCUUAAGUGAACGGUCAGGGCUCAACUCUGGACU
This 249-nucleotide ribosomal RNA is filed under the name uncultured bacterium. RNAcentral describes it as "partial 16S ribosomal RNA". It matches the Rfam family "Bacterial small subunit ribosomal RNA", at positions 355 to 621 of the family's 1533-position model. The record is from RNAcentral.